ACGGGAGGCAGCAGUGGGGGAUAUUGCACAAUGGGGGAAACCCUGAUGCAGCGACGCCGCGUGAGUGAAGAAGUAUUUCGGUAUGUAAAGCUCUAUCAGCAGGAAAGAUAAUGACGGUACCUGACUAAGAAGCACCGGCUAAAUACGUGCCAGCAGCCGCGGUAAUACGUAUGGUGCAAGCGUUAUCCGGAUUUACUGGGUGUAAAGGGAGCGUAGACGGCAUGGCAAGCCAGAUGUGAAAUGCGGGGGCUCAACUCCUGAACUGCAUUUGGAACUGUCAAGCUAGAGUAUCGGAGAGGUAAGUGGAAUUCCUAGUGUAGCGGUGAAAUGCGUAGAUAUUAGGAGGAACAUCAGUGGCGAAGGCGGCUUUCUGGACAGUUACUGACACUGAGGCACGAAAGUGUGGGGAGCAAACAGGAUUAGAUACCCUGGUA
This 434-nucleotide ribosomal RNA is filed under the name uncultured Lachnospiraceae bacterium. RNAcentral's name for it is "partial 16S ribosomal RNA". It matches the Rfam family "Bacterial small subunit ribosomal RNA", at positions 341 to 792 of the family's 1533-position model. Lineage: Bacteria; Bacillati; Bacillota; Clostridia; Lachnospirales; Lachnospiraceae. The record is from RNAcentral.